GACGAACGCUGGCGGCGUGCCUAACACAUGCAAGUCGAGCGGUAAGGCCCUUUCGGGGGUACACGAGCGGCGAACGGGUGAGUAACACGUGGGUGACCUGCCCUCAGCUCUGGGAUAAGCCUGGGAAACUGGGUCUAAUACUGGAUAUGACUCCGCGGCGCAUGUUGUGGGGUGGAAAGCCUUGUGCGGCUGGAGAUGGGCCCGCGGCCUAUCAGCUUGUUGGUGGGGNGAUGGCCUACCAAGGCGACGACGGGUAGCCGGCCUGAGAGGGCGACCGGCCACACUGGGACUGAGACACGGCCCAGACUCCUACGGGAGGCAGCAGUGGGGAAUCUUGCGCAAUGGGCGAAAGCCUGACGCAGCGACGCCGCGUGAGGGAUGAC
RNAcentral lists this ribosomal RNA (383 nucleotides) under uncultured bacterium. RNAcentral describes it as "bacterial SSU rRNA". It matches the Rfam family "Bacterial small subunit ribosomal RNA", at positions 28 to 412 of the family's 1533-position model. The record is from RNAcentral.